CCAGGAAGUAACCUCCCCCAACGACCAGGAUGGUCGGGGCGGUCCCUAGAAAGGAUUGUGGGAGGCGUUCAGACACUUCACGUCUUCCACUUUGUUGCCAGAGGCGUUUGAGAAAUUGGUUUGCGCCACGAACAGCAGACAGCGUCUCAGGAGUCUGCCCCAGCCACGUCAUCUACAGGUCUGUGAAGGGAAAUGAUCACUGUGCAUCGCAUCUUUAUAAAAAAAACAGUCAUAUCAUCAAAAUUCAACCCUUUAAAACUGGACGUAGUGGGUGAUUGAAGGAAGAUGAAAAGUAAAAAAGGUC
Molecule: long non-coding RNA, 304 nt
Organism: Eleginops maclovinus (Patagonian blennie)
Lineage: Eukaryota; Metazoa; Chordata; Actinopteri; Perciformes; Eleginopidae
Exons: 4
Source: RefSeq, a predicted model, not a curated record